RNAcentral lists this ribosomal RNA (301 nucleotides) under uncultured bacterium. RNAcentral's name for it is "partial 16S ribosomal RNA". It matches the Rfam family "Bacterial small subunit ribosomal RNA", at positions 509 to 809 of the family's 1533-position model. The record is from RNAcentral.
CAGCAGCCGCGGUAAUACGUAGGGUGCAAGCGUUAAUCGGAAUUACUGGGCGUAAAGCGUGCGCAGGCGGUUAUAUAAGACAGAUGUGAAAUCCCCGGGCUCAACCUGGGAACUGCAUCCAUAACUGCCUGACUAGAGUACGGUAGAGGGUGGUGGAAUUUCCUGUGUAGCGGUGAAAUGCGUAGAUAUAGGAAGGAACACCAGUGGCGAAGGCGACCACCUGGACUGAUACUGACACUGAGGUGCGAAAGCGUGGGGAGCAAACAGGAUUAGAUACCCGUGUAGUCCCUGUCUCUUAUAA